CAGCCGCCGCGGUAAUACAGAGGGUGCGAGCGUUAAUCGGAUUUACUGGGCGUAAAGCGUGCGUAGGCGGCUUCUUAAGUCGGAUGUGAAAUCCCUGAGCUUAACUUAGGAAUUGCAUUCGAUACUGGGAAGCUAGAGUAUGGGAGAGGAUGGUAGAAUUCCAGGUGUAGCGGUGAAAUGCGUAGAGAUCUGGAGGAAUACCGAUGGCGAAGGCAGCCAUCUGGCCUAAUACUGACGCUGAGGUACAAAAGCAUGGGGAGCAAACAGGAUUAGAUACCCCUGUAGUCCCUGUCUCUUAUAC
RNAcentral lists this ribosomal RNA (301 nucleotides) under uncultured bacterium. RNAcentral describes it as "partial 16S ribosomal RNA". It matches the Rfam family "Bacterial small subunit ribosomal RNA", at positions 509 to 807 of the family's 1533-position model. The record is from RNAcentral.